UUUUUUUUUUCCUUUUUCAAUUUUUUUUUCUCCUCAACAGGCUGUCCCACUUCAGGGUGCGCCUUGCCAGGGCCUAGACGGAAGCGUGCAGGUCGGGGAGGUGGGACCAGGGAGAAAAAUCCGGACUGGGGCCUGUCACGCUCUAAUUCGCUCGGCUUUUCUCUCACUCCCCGGGCCGCAAAGACAGUCGAGGCGGGGCCCCGGGGACAGCCAUCCUGCUGUCACACUCUCCGGGAGUGGCAAACGGCUGCCGCUGGCUGGGCUGCAGCGGGCCCGGGCGAAGCGGGGAAGGCCCAGCCAGGCCGCGGCCG
RNAcentral lists this long non-coding RNA (311 nucleotides) under Rattus norvegicus (Norway rat). RNAcentral's name for it is "long non-coding RNA NONRATT023039". Lineage: Eukaryota; Metazoa; Chordata; Mammalia; Rodentia; Muridae. The record is from RNAcentral.